UCGAGAUCAGUCUGGAAUAGCCCUCUAAGAUCUGAAUUUUGAUUCUUCAAAAUUUAACCUGCUGAAUCUAAACGAAGACUGGAUCGUGAUUAACGUUUGAUCUUUUUUCUUGAUCCUUAUCUUCUUUUCCAAUCUAGUCUUUCUCCUUAUCUUGUAGUGCUACAAGAGACCAACAACCAGUAGAUGAAUGGCCGCUUAACACCUUGGGCGUGUGCAAAACUUGGGAUGCGUGUCCCAAGUUGUAUGGCAUGGGGACUCCUAAGGAGAAGAGAAAAAGGAAGGAAGAGAGGGCGUGGGAGGUUCUCUUGAGGUGGAGAGGGGCUGGCUUGGAUGAUCUUAGGACCUUAGAGGAGGUCCUCUUUUAUAGGUACAAAGAUUGAAUCUUAUUCAAUCAUAUAAUACAAGUCCUACUUGCAUUAGGAUUCCUAUUAUCUUAAGUUAUCCAACUUACAUUAGAAAGCUCAUUAGAUGCCAAGUAUUGGAGCUCUUGCAUCCAUAAUUAGACGUCCUAUUUUGCACCCAAGAGAUACCCCAUAUGAGAACUAAAGGUCCUCUAAUCAAUGGACAUGCCCAAAUUGAAUAAUUCAAAGUGGCACCCCAUAAUAACUAUUAAGGAGAUUCAUAAGAGACUUGCACCCUUAAUUUAUAUGAUCCAUAACCUU
This 662-nucleotide long non-coding RNA is filed under the name Elaeis guineensis (African oil palm). Its description in RNAcentral is "long non-coding RNA (EGUI_LNC042405)". The record is from RNAcentral. Lineage: Eukaryota; Viridiplantae; Streptophyta; Magnoliopsida; Arecales; Arecaceae.